RNAcentral lists this transfer RNA (90 nucleotides) under Alphaproteobacteria bacterium. Its description in RNAcentral is "tRNA-Ser". It matches the Rfam family "tRNA". Rfam says of the family: Transfer RNA (tRNA) molecules are approximately 80 nucleotides in length. Their secondary structure includes four short double-helical elements and three loops (D, anti-codon, and T loops). Further hydrogen bonds mediate the characteristic L-shaped molecular structure. tRNAs have two regions of fundamental functional importance: the anti-codon, which is responsible for specific mRNA codon recognition, and the 3' end, to which the tRNAs corresponding amino acid is attached (by aminoacyl-tRNA synthetases). tRNAs cope with the degeneracy of the genetic code in two manners: having more than one tRNA (with a specific anti-codon) for a particular amino acid; and 'wobble' base-pairing, i.e. permitting non-standard base-pairing at the 3rd anti-codon position. The record is from RNAcentral. RNAcentral also lists the same sequence under 1 other name. Lineage: Bacteria; Pseudomonadati; Pseudomonadota; Alphaproteobacteria.
GGAUGGGUGGCCGAGUGGUUGAAGGCGCACGCCUGGAAAGUGUGUUUAGGGGAAACCCUAACGGAGGUUCGAAUCCUCUCCCAUCCGCCA